ACCUGCGGAAGGAUCAUUACCUAGAGUUGUAGGCUUUGCCUGCUAUCUCUUACCCAUGUCUUUUGAGUACCUUACGUUUCCUCGGUGGGUUCGCCCACCGAUUGGACAAACUUAAACCCUUUGCAGUUGAAAUCAGCGUCUGAAAAAACUUAAUAGUUACAACUUUCAACAACGGAUCUCUUGGUUCUGGCAUCGAUGAAGAACGCAGCGAAAUGCGAUAAGUAGUGUGAAUUGCAGAAUUCAGUGAAUCAUCGAAUCUUUGAACGCACAUUGCGCCCCUUGGUAUUCCAUGGGGCAUGCCUGUUCGAGCGUCAUUUGUACCUUCAAGCUCUGCUUGGUGUUGGGUGUUUGUCUCCUGUAGACUCGCCUCAAAACAAUUGGCAGCCGGCGUAUUGAUUUCGGAGCGCAGUACAUCUCGCGCUUUGCACUCAUAACGACGACGUCCAAAAGUACAUUUUUACACUCUUGACCUCGGAUCAGGUAGGGAUACCCGCUGAACUUAAGCAUA
This 508-nucleotide ribosomal RNA is filed under the name Leptosphaeria spegazzinii. RNAcentral's name for it is "eukaryotic LSU rRNA". The stretch from base 161 to 314 matches the Rfam family "5.8S ribosomal RNA". Lineage: Eukaryota; Fungi; Ascomycota; Dothideomycetes; Pleosporales; Leptosphaeriaceae. The record is from RNAcentral.